GAAAAGAAAAAAUAAAAAGGGGAAGAAAUUCAAGUAAAUGACAAUUUUUGGAAAUAACUAAUACUCUAGUGAGGAAAGAGGAGAAAAAAAAGAGGAGAUUUCUGUGGAGAAAUCCGAACAGUUUUCUUCUAAAAAUGCACGUUUUCCUGACGAUCGACUAUGAAGAAAUUGGAUUCCUCCCAAUUUGACAAUGACACGUUUACUCACAUUAGUUGGGUUUAUUUUAGCAGGAAAUCAAUAAAUCAAAAAAUCAACAUUUCCACGUGGUUGGAUCACCCACCUGCCAAUCUGAGAGCAGACAUCCGUUGAAAUUCUGGUUCUUCCAGCCACUUGUACAUUCUCCGGAAUGUUUCU
This is a long non-coding RNA of Centruroides sculpturatus (bark scorpion), 354 nucleotides long. RefSeq lists it as uncharacterized. The transcript has 3 exons. Lineage: Eukaryota; Metazoa; Arthropoda; Arachnida; Scorpiones; Buthidae. The record is from RefSeq and is a predicted model, not a curated record.